AUGGACAAUUCCAUCCCUUAUUACCGUGGCUAUGCAUCAGAGACGGAUGACGAAGGUCCGGAUGAACAAGUUGAUGAGGUGGGGUUCACGCUGAAGGAGGCUGAAGCUUUCGAGAAGGUAUUCGGGCGGGAUCAUCGGGCUCCAUUGUUCAAGGAUGUUAGUCUCGCGGAUGAAGCUGUGGUAGAUGGCGUCCAAGGUAUAUCCACAGGAGUUAGGCCAAGCUCUCACCGGGAUUUGGAAGAUGGCAAGAACGGGAUUUCUCCUGGGUCUAAGUUCCAAACCUUCUUGGGGUUGACGAUGUGGCUCGACAACUACUCGGUUACGCAUUAUCGUCCACACAAGGUAGUGAACUCGGACGUCUAUGUGCGCUACACGGUUGCAUGUGAAGAGAGAAAAUGUCCAUGGAUUGUGCAUGCAAGAACAUGUAAAGGAGGGACCACCUGGAACUUAGUGAGUUGUGUACCAAGUCAUAUGUGUCGAGGCAAGAGGGUGAUGGGAAGGUUGUGUCCCAAAACCAUAGACAACUCACGUCUGAGUUCAUUGCUUACAGGCUUUCCAACUCAAUAUCCACACUUCCAAGAAUGA
RNAcentral lists this ribosomal RNA (585 nucleotides) under Triticum aestivum (bread wheat). RNAcentral's name for it is "partial small subunit ribosomal RNA". Lineage: Eukaryota; Viridiplantae; Streptophyta; Magnoliopsida; Poales; Poaceae. The record is from RNAcentral.